ACGAGUGGCGGACGGGUGAGUAAUGUCUGGGAAACUGCCUGAUGGAGGGGGAUAACUACUGGAAACGGUGGCUAAUACCGCAUAACGUCGCAAGACCAAAGAGGGGGACCCUCGGGCCUCUUGCCAUCGGAUGUGCCCAGAUGGGAUUAGCUUGUUGGUGGGGUAACGGCUCACCAAGGCGACGAUCCCUAGCUGGUCUGAGAGGAUGACCAGCCACACUGGAACCGAGACACGGUCCAGACUCCUACGGGAGGCAGCAUG
RNAcentral lists this ribosomal RNA (261 nucleotides) under uncultured bacterium. RNAcentral's name for it is "partial 16S ribosomal RNA". It matches the Rfam family "Bacterial small subunit ribosomal RNA", at positions 91 to 353 of the family's 1533-position model. The record is from RNAcentral.